Molecule: ribosomal RNA, 309 nt
Filed under: uncultured Acinetobacter sp.
Lineage: Bacteria; Pseudomonadati; Pseudomonadota; Gammaproteobacteria; Moraxellales; Moraxellaceae
Description: bacterial SSU rRNA
Rfam family: Bacterial small subunit ribosomal RNA
Source: RNAcentral
UGGGGAAUAUUGGACAAUGGGGGGAACCCUGAUCCAGCCAUGCCGCGUGUGUGAAGAAGGCCUUUUGGUUGUAAAGCACUUUAAGCGAGGAGGAGGCUACCUAGAUUAAUACUUUAGGAUAGUGGACGUUACUCGCAGAAUAAGCACCGGCUAACUCUGUGCCAGCAGCCGCGGUAAUACAGAGGGUGCGAGCGUUAAUCGGAUUUACUGGGCGUAAAGCGUGCGUAGGCGGCCAAUUAAGUCAAAUGUGAAAUCCCCGAGCUUAACUUGGGAAUUGCAUUCGAUACUGGUUGGCUAGAGUAUGGGAGA